This 492-nucleotide ribosomal RNA is filed under the name uncultured bacterium. RNAcentral's name for it is "partial 16S ribosomal RNA". It matches the Rfam family "Bacterial small subunit ribosomal RNA", at positions 29 to 507 of the family's 1533-position model. The record is from RNAcentral.
AGUGAACGCUGGCGGUAGGCCUAACACAUGCAAGUCGAACGGCAGCACAGUAAGAGCUUGCUCUUACGGGUGGCGAGUGGCGGACGGGUGAGGGGUACAUCGGAAUCUACUUUUUCGUGGGGGAUAACGUAGGGAAACUUACGCUAAUACCGCAUACGACCUACGGGUGAAAGCAGGGGAGCUUCGGACCUUGCGCGAUUGAAUGAGCCGAUGUCGGAUUAGCUAGUUGGCGGGGUAAAGGCCCACCAAGGCGACGAUCCGUAGCUGGUCUGAGAGGAUGAUCGGCCACACUGGAACUGAGACACGGUCCAGACUCCUACGGGAGGCAGCAGUGGGGAAUAUUGGACAAUGGGCGCAAGCCUGAUCCAGCAAUACCGCGUGAGUGAAGAAGGCCUUCGGGUUGUAAAGCCCUUUUGUUGGGAAAGAAAAGCAGCAGGUUAAUACCCCGCUGUUCUGACGGUACCCAAAGAAUAAGCACCGGCUAACUUCGUG